UGCAUGGUUGUCGUCAGCUCGUGUCGUGAGAUGUUGGUUAAGUCCCGCAACGAGCGCAACCCCUAUCUUUAGUUGCCAUCAUUAAGUUGGGCACUCUAAAGAGACUGCCGGUGUCAAACCGGAGGAAGGUGGGGAUGACGUCAAGUCCUCAUGGCCUUUAUGACCAGGGCUACACACGUACUACAAUGGCCGGUACAAAGGGCAGCGACACAGCGAUGUGAAGCCAAUCCCGAAAAGCCGGUCUCAGUCCGGAUUGGAGUCUGCAACUCGACUCCAUGAAGUUGGAAUCGCUAGUAAUCGUGGAUCAGCACGCCACGGUGAAUACGUUCCCGGGCCUU
This 338-nucleotide ribosomal RNA is filed under the name uncultured Desulfocapsa sp. RNAcentral's name for it is "bacterial SSU rRNA". It matches the Rfam family "Bacterial small subunit ribosomal RNA", at positions 1042 to 1382 of the family's 1533-position model. The record is from RNAcentral. Lineage: Bacteria; Pseudomonadati; Thermodesulfobacteriota; Desulfobulbia; Desulfobulbales; Desulfocapsaceae.